RNAcentral lists this ribosomal RNA (492 nucleotides) under uncultured bacterium. RNAcentral describes it as "partial 16S ribosomal RNA". It matches the Rfam family "Bacterial small subunit ribosomal RNA", at positions 29 to 507 of the family's 1533-position model. The record is from RNAcentral.
AGUGAACGCUGGCGGUAGGCCUAACACAUGCAAGUCGAACGGCAGCACAGUAAGAGCUUGCUCUUACGGGUGGCGAGUGGCGGACGGGUGAGGAAUACAUCGGAAUCUACUUUUUCGUGGGGGAUAACGUAGGGAAACUUACGCUAAUACCGCAUACGACCUACGGGUGAAAGCAGGGGAUCUUCGGACCUUGCGCGAUUGAAUGAGCCGAUGUCGGAUUAGCUAGUUGGCGGGUUAAAGGCCCACCAAGGCGACGAUCCGUAGCUGGUCUGAGAGGAUGAUCAGCCACACUGGAACUGAGACACGGUACAGAGGCCUACGGGAGGCAGCAGUGGGGAAUAUUGGACAAUGGGCUCAAGCCUGAUCCAGCCAUACCGCGUGGGUGAAGAAGGCCUUCGGGUUGUAAAGCCCUUUUGUUGGGAAAGAAAAGCAGCAGGUUAAUACCCCGCUGUUCUGACGGUACCCAAAGAAUAAGCACCGGCUAACUUCGUG